This 322-nucleotide ribosomal RNA is filed under the name uncultured eukaryote. RNAcentral describes it as "partial 18S ribosomal RNA". It matches the Rfam family "Eukaryotic small subunit ribosomal RNA", at positions 1470 to 1796 of the family's 1831-position model. The record is from RNAcentral.
CCCUUAGAUGUUCUGGGCCGCACGCGUGCUACACUGAGUGGAUCAGCGGGUCAGGUUGCGCGAAAGCGUUUCCUAAUCUUGAAAUCCGCUCGUGAUGGGGAUUGACGGUUGCAAUUUUCUGUCAUGAACGAGGAAUACCUUGUAAGCGCGGGUCAUCAUCCCGCGCUGAAUACGUCCCUGCCCUUUGUACACACCGCCCGUCGCUCCUACCGAUUGAGUGGUCCGGUGAGGCUUUGGGAUCUGAGCGGAAAGAGCGUUUCGCUCGUUCUGCCCGGAAAACUCAGUCGAGCCUUAUCAUUUAGAGGAAGGAGAAGUCGUAACA